GCAAACUUGGUCAUUUAGAGGAAGUAAAAGUCGUAACAAGGUUUCCGUAGGUGAACCUGCGGAAGGAUCAUUAACGAUUUCGUAGCUGGGCUUCGGCCCUGUCUGCACCCUUGUCUUUUGCGUACCCAUUGUUUCCUCGGCGGGCUUGCCUGCCGAUAGGACAUUGUAAAACCACUUGUAAUUGCAAUCAGCGUCAGUAAAACAAACAAUAUUAAAACUUUCAACAACGGAUCUCUUGGUUCUGGCAUCGAUGAAGAACGCAGC
This 264-nucleotide unclassified non-coding RNA is filed under the name uncultured fungus. Its description in RNAcentral is "partial contains small subunit ribosomal RNA, internal transcribed spacer 1, and 5.8S ribosomal RNA". The stretch from base 1 to 73 matches the Rfam family "Eukaryotic small subunit ribosomal RNA", at positions 1759 to 1831 of the family's 1831-position model. Lineage: Eukaryota; Fungi. The record is from RNAcentral.